CCUACGGGAGACAGCAGUGAGGAAUAUUGGUCAAUGGACGAGAGUCUGAACCAGCCAAGUAGCGUGAAGGAUGACUGCCCUCUGGGUUGUAAACUUCUUUUAUAUGGGAAUAAAAUGUUCCACGUGUGGGAUUUUGUAUGUACCAUAUGAAUAAGGAUCGGCUAACUCCGUGCCAGCAGCCGCGGUAAUACGGAGGAUCCGAGCGUUAACCGGAUUUAUUGGGUUUAAAGGGAAUGUAGGUUGGUUGUUAAGUCAGUUGUGAAAGUUUGCGGCUCAACCGUAAAAUUGCAGUUGAAACUGGCAGUCUUGAGUACAGUAGAGGUGGGCGGAAUUCGUGGUGUAGCGGUGAAAUGCUUAGAUAUCACGAAGAACUCCGAUUGCGAAGGCAGUUCACUGGACUGCAACUGACACUGAGGCUCGAAAGUGUGGGUAUCAAACAGGAUUAGAUACCCCUGUAGUC
RNAcentral lists this ribosomal RNA (460 nucleotides) under uncultured bacterium. RNAcentral's name for it is "partial 16S ribosomal RNA". It matches the Rfam family "Bacterial small subunit ribosomal RNA", at positions 338 to 795 of the family's 1533-position model. The record is from RNAcentral.